This 254-nucleotide ribosomal RNA is filed under the name uncultured bacterium. RNAcentral describes it as "partial 16S ribosomal RNA". It matches the Rfam family "Bacterial small subunit ribosomal RNA", at positions 524 to 776 of the family's 1533-position model. The record is from RNAcentral.
UACGUAGGGUGCAAGCGUUAAUCGGAAUUACUGGGCGUAAAGCGUGCGCAGGCGGUUGUGCAAGACAGAUGUGAAAUCCCCGGGCUUAACCUGGGAACUGCAUUGGUGACUGGCAGGCUUUGAGUGUGGCAGAGGGAGGUAGAAUUCCACGUGUAGCAGUGAAAUGCGUAGAGAUGUGGAGGAAUACCGAUGGCGAAGGCAGCCUCCUGGGCCAACACUGACGCUCAUGCACGAAAGCGUGGGGAGCAAACAGG